RNAcentral lists this ribosomal RNA (497 nucleotides) under uncultured bacterium. RNAcentral describes it as "partial 16S ribosomal RNA". It matches the Rfam family "Bacterial small subunit ribosomal RNA", at positions 28 to 507 of the family's 1533-position model. The record is from RNAcentral.
GAUGAACGCUGGCGGCGUGCCUAAUACAUGCAAGUCGAGCGAACAGAUAAGGAGCUUGCUCCUUUGACGUUAGCGGCGGACGGGUGGGUAACACGUGGGUAACCUACCUAUAAGACUGGGAUAACUUCGGGAAACCGGAGCUAAUACCGGAUAACAUUUGGAACCGCAUGGUUCUAAAGUGAAAGAUGGUUUUGCUAUCACUUAUAGAUGGACCCGCGCCGUAUUAGCUAGUUGGUAAGGUAACGGCUUACCAAGGCGACGAUACGUAGCCGACCUGAGAGGGUGAUCGGCCACACUGGAACUGAGACACGGUCCAGACUCCUACGGGAGGCAGCAGUAGGGAAUCUUCCGCAAUGGGCGAAAGCCUGACGGAGCAACGCCGCGUGAGUGAUGAAGGGUUUCGGCUCGUAAAACUCUGUUAUUAGGGAAGAACAAAUGUGUAAGUAACUGUGCACGUCUUGACGGUACCUAAUCAGAAAGCCACGGCUAACUACGUG